Molecule: non-coding RNA, 29 nt
Filed under: Rattus norvegicus (Norway rat)
Lineage: Eukaryota; Metazoa; Chordata; Mammalia; Rodentia; Muridae
Source: RNAcentral
UCCACAGGUCAAUGGAAAGCCUUUGAUGC